RNAcentral lists this ribosomal RNA (460 nucleotides) under uncultured bacterium. Its description in RNAcentral is "partial 16S ribosomal RNA". It matches the Rfam family "Bacterial small subunit ribosomal RNA", at positions 338 to 795 of the family's 1533-position model. The record is from RNAcentral.
CCUACGGAUGGCAGCAGUGAGGAAUAUUGGUCAAUGGGCGCGAGCCUGAACCAGCCAAGUAGCGUGAAGGAUGACUGCCCUACGGGUUGUAAACUUCUUUUAUAAAGGAAUAAAGUGAGGCACGUGUGCCUUUUUGUAUGUACUUUAUGAAUAAGGAUCGGCUAACUCCGUGCCAGCAGCCGCGGUAAUACGGAGGAUCCGAGCGUUAUCCGGAUUUAUUGGGUUUAAAGGGAGCGCAGGUGGAUGGUUAAGUCAGUUGUGAAAGUUUGCGGCUCAACCGUAAAAUUGCAGUUGAAACUGGCAGUCUUGAGUACAGUAGAGGUGGGCGGAAUUCGUGGUGUAGCGGUGAAAUGCUUAGAUAUCACGAAGAACUCCGAUUGCGAAGGCAGCUUACUAAACUGCCACUGACAUUGAUGCUCGAAAGUGUGGGUAUCAAACAGGAUUAGAUACCCUGGUAGUC